Molecule: long non-coding RNA, 1330 nt
Filed under: Malus domestica (apple)
Lineage: Eukaryota; Viridiplantae; Streptophyta; Magnoliopsida; Rosales; Rosaceae
Description: long non-coding RNA (MDOM_LNC009088)
Source: RNAcentral
CACAUGGAGACACCCAUCAUCUAGAUUUUUCCACUCCAAAUGGUGAACCUCACCUGUCUCGGUAGGUCGCUAACCUAAGUAGUGCCCUCGUGCAACAGACAACCUUGGUGAAUCAACUUCUUGAGUGCAUCGAGACGCAGCAUAUGCCCUAGAUAAGGUGUUCAAAAGUUGGACAAGGGCAGAUGAUCAUGACUCUUUCCUACGAUGACAAGCCCCGAUCCCGAUAUUCCCCGAAUACUAGGGUAGGUACGUGCUGGCCGACACCCGAGGGUGACGAAAGCCAUUUAUUGAAUGCAAAUGCUGAGAACAAGAAAUAAAUAAGACUUAUAAAUUUAAAAUAUAAUGAAUAUGCACUUUAAGAACAUGUUCAGAGCACACAUCUAAUCUAGAACACUAAAAGAAUUUAUAUAAAAAUUGAAUGAAUAAAAGAAUGGGUCCUACACCGAGAGGACUCGAAGAUGUCGUUGCGGAAGUGCCUUGAUACCGGGAUUGUAUGCCUCAAUUUUAGUCCUAAAGGGGGCUCAAAACAAACAUGAGUUGACCAAGUUGAUAUAGAUAUAAUAAACUAGUUAUCAACAUACUAACCCCCAGGUUUUAUGAAAACACAUAUAUUAUGACGCAAAUAUGUUUUCCGAAACCUAGCAUGCCGUGCAAUGUCUCAAACCAUAUCUCGUAUAUAUAAUAAUCACUAAUGAAUGUCCAAUAUCCCUCCAAGCCCCGUGCCAGCUCCUCGUCCUUGUGCCAAUUGCCAAAGGAAAAUCACCUUCAGGCCCCGUGCCAGCUCCCUAUCCUUGUGCUAAUUGCCAGAGGAAAAUCAUCUUCAAGCCCUAUGCCAACACUGUACCCUCACUCGUGACAGAAUCUAUCCAUCGCCCCGUGGCGGAAUAGGGACCACUAGGUAAGUACAAAACUAUUGAACAUACAUCUAUUUGAAAUUCAACUUCAUAGUAUAAAGUCAUCCAUCAUCUACACUAUAAAGAGGUGUUCGAAACAUGUUCUAAAUAUUAUAUUUUCAUCCAUCAGAUAUUCUAUAAAGAACACGGGUUAUAGGAAAAAUAAUAAUAAUUCAAACUAGCCUUAGUAAGCAUGUUAUCUCGUAAAACGUUUCAUAAAACGUAAUCAUUAAAUCAUGCUUUUCAUGUAUGCAUUACUACUGUUAAAACAUGCAUUUUUAGAAGGGGUCCAUCACAGAUACUUAGCCGCCAAAGAGUCACGCAAACUAGCGAACAUGGAAUCGUCAUAAACAAUUACCCCUAAGCACAUAAAGGGUUUAAUUAAUAAAACUAUAUAAUAGCAAUUGAAUUUGGGAAAACGGACUUCGUAAACGAAU